GUUACGUAGAGGCAUGAAGUUUUGUUUUUACCAUUGUAAGUUCAAAUACGCGUGGGAGCGUGUAUACGGAGGCCGGGCAGCCCAAGCUGCUGGCUAUUACGUCUCGGCUCCAAGCCACCCUCCAGACUCUGCUCUGUGCAUCUUUAACAGCUUAGUCCCGGACAGCUUCCUGGUGGGUAGACCAUCUGUCUCACCUUCUGUUCCUCACCACUCUCCUGGUCGUGAGGAGGAAGGCCCAACACGCCCUCAGGCAGUUUCAGCAGCGGGAGAAACUAGGACUUUCUAAGAAGCCCAGGUAGGAAAGGUGCAGUGAAACUCCUCUCCUGAGAAGAGUUUGAGAAUCAUCAGUAGUGACAGGAAACCAAAGAGAUUCGGCUGUUUGUUUCUUGUCUUUAUUGACAAAAAAAGGUCACAGCAUUUCAGACUUUAUUCAAAUACACAAACAGUAACAAACAAUACCCACAAGUGACAGGCAUGGUCCCUAACCUCUGCGCCAAAGGCCAUGUCGGAGGAUGUGGUUGAGCUCUUGGCCACCCCCCAGCAUCUCUGUCCCUUCCUCCCCUACACCUCGCUGACACCCCUGAGAUCAGUUAAGACUGCAGAAACGAAGUCGCUCUAGAGGAGGUUGGGCUGCGCCUCAUUGCCAAGGAGGAAGCAGGUUCUGAAGGAAAGACAGAAGCGUGCUAGUGUGGCAUCUCCUAGGAGAGGCCAGGCUGCUUUGUGAGCUGGGCCUGAGUCGCCCGCGGCCUCGGGCCUGGGCACAACACGAA
Molecule: long non-coding RNA, 770 nt
Organism: Neofelis nebulosa (Clouded leopard)
Lineage: Eukaryota; Metazoa; Chordata; Mammalia; Carnivora; Felidae
Exons: 2
Source: RefSeq, a predicted model, not a curated record